RNAcentral lists this ribosomal RNA (402 nucleotides) under uncultured Clostridium sp. RNAcentral's name for it is "bacterial SSU rRNA". It matches the Rfam family "Bacterial small subunit ribosomal RNA", at positions 356 to 773 of the family's 1533-position model. The record is from RNAcentral. Lineage: Bacteria; Bacillati; Bacillota; Clostridia; Eubacteriales; Clostridiaceae.
GGGGAAUAUUGGGCAAUGGGCGAAAGCCUGACCCAGCAACGCCGCGUGAGGGAAGAAGGGUUUCGGCUCGUAAACCUCUGUCCUAUGGGACGAAGGAAGUGACGGUACCAUAGGAGGAAGCCCCGGCUAACUACGUGCCAGCAGCCGCGGUAAUACGUAGGGGGCGAGCGUUGUCCGGAAUGAUUGGGCGUAAAGGGAGCGUAGGCGGUUAAUUAAGUUAGAUGUGAAAUACCCGGGCUUAACUUGGGGGUGCAUCUAAUACUGGUAAACUAGAGUACAGGAGAGGAAAGCGGAAUUCCUAGUGUAGCGGUGAAAUGCAUAGAUAUUAGGAGGAACACCGGUGGCGAAGGCGGCUUUCUGGACUGUAACUGACGCUGAGGCACGAAAGCGUGGGGAGCAAAC